Molecule: microRNA precursor, 86 nt
Filed under: Solanum tuberosum (potato)
Lineage: Eukaryota; Viridiplantae; Streptophyta; Magnoliopsida; Solanales; Solanaceae
Description: MIR8024 microRNA precursor family
Rfam family: MIR8024 microRNA precursor family
Source: Rfam by way of RNAcentral
UUAGAGGAUUUAGAGAUUUCUACUUGCGUACUUGGAGGAUUUGAAGACUUUAAUUUGCAUAAUUGAAUAAUUUGAAUACUUUAACU